Molecule: unclassified non-coding RNA, 274 nt
Organism: Spermophilus dauricus (Daurian ground squirrel)
Lineage: Eukaryota; Metazoa; Chordata; Mammalia; Rodentia; Sciuridae
Gene: 7SK
Rfam family: 7SK RNA
About the family: 7SK was discovered as an abundant small nuclear RNA in the mid-70s but a possible function has only recently been suggested. Two independent studies have found that 7SK RNA binds the CDK9/cyclin T complex (known as elongation factor P-TEFb). P-TEFb activates transcription by phosphorylating the C-terminal domain of RNA polymerase II.
Source: Ensembl
GAUGGUGAGGGCAGUCUGACUGUGACAUCUGUUACCCUGUUGGCUAUGUAAGUGGCUCUUCUCACCUUGUCAUGUACAUUUUUCCUAAAGUAUUGCCCUUGGCUAAAGAAGAUGUCCUAUUUAGAUCACAGAGGGCUAUUCUUUAUUUAAGGUAUCUGAAUUAGAAUCUUAUAUCCAAGGUACAUAAUUAUGCAGUUUUCUGAGGGGUAGUCUAUUUUAGGCAGUAGCUACUUUAUACUAAAUUAAGCCUAUUUGAAAUAGGCAGCCCAUUUUU